UCCUAAUUCCUAACCCUAAUCCAUCUCCUACAUCUUUCUCCCUCUCCACAACAAAUCUCCAAUGGAUCAAAAGUCUGCUGGAAAGUAAAAAAACAUAAAUAUGAAACACUAUAGAAACCUCCUUUGCUAGAUCCCCAAAUCACUACUCAAAAUCAUCUUCUGCAGAUUAAUACAUCUGUCAACUAUAAAGCUUCAAAGAUCUGCUCUCUGUUUAAUUGCAAUCAUAGGGCUUCUAUCCACAAUCGCUCAUUCAAUUCGCUUCGAGAUCGAAUCGGGUCACACAAAGUGUAUAGCAGAAGAUAUCAAAAGCAGUUCGAUGACUGUUGGUCAGUACUCAAUUGUUAACCCUAAUGAAGGACAACCUUUACGGCUUUACCUGAAUCUCACAGAAUCACUUUCAGAGCUCGGGAGAAAGAAGCAGAUGGAUUAGGGUUAGAAAUUGGGGGAGAUAUGUUAGAGCAUUCACAUCCAUUCCACCAUAUUUUCACCCUAAAUUACACUAAAAAACACUAUAUUUUCUCUCUCC
Helianthus annuus (common sunflower) is the source of this 526-nucleotide long non-coding RNA. RefSeq lists it as uncharacterized. The record is from RefSeq and is a predicted model, not a curated record. NCBI's taxonomy places the organism in Eukaryota, Viridiplantae, Streptophyta, Magnoliopsida, Asterales, Asteraceae. The transcript has 2 exons.